ACAAGUUUUAUUUAAAAUACAGGAUAAAAUCUGUUUAUUUUCAGUUGGUGUUUUAAGGAUAAAGAUUACGCAGUGGCUGAGAGAACUUUUGAGGUGACAGUGAGAUUCUGGUACUCCCCCCAUAGACUGCUGUGCUCCAUGGGAGGCUUCCCGAAGCAUCCUGAGUGAUCUUGGAGGAGACAUUAUGAUGGUCUUCUACGCUACUACAUUGAAAUUUUCAAAACAGAUGGAAGAAUUUCAGAUUUAAGUAUCUGGUUCGGAGAAAGGAAUAUUCAGUCACUGAACUCUACUUGAAAGCACAUUCA
Molecule: long non-coding RNA, 305 nt
Filed under: Apteryx rowi (Okarito brown kiwi)
Lineage: Eukaryota; Metazoa; Chordata; Aves; Apterygiformes; Apterygidae
Description: lncRNA (ENSARWG00000010794.1)
Source: RNAcentral